GUCAAUAACUCCUAAAUCAAUUAUCCAAGAGCUUGAAAAGGACUUACUUGAGGCACUAAAAGCAAGAGAGAAAGGAAACUUACCUAAAUGUGCAAGAGAUCAACACUCAUAGGCUUCUCCAAUGAACCCAAUUUUUUUUUUCAGCUUUUCAACGUCCUCCUGAUUCAAUUCUCCAAGUUUUGUGUUAUUAUACUUUGCUUGUUCCUCUUAAGAAUUAUCAACAUUAGCUACAUACACCUUGG
RNAcentral lists this long non-coding RNA (242 nucleotides) under Vitis vinifera (wine grape). RNAcentral's name for it is "long non-coding RNA (VVIN_LNC004582)". Lineage: Eukaryota; Viridiplantae; Streptophyta; Magnoliopsida; Vitales; Vitaceae. The record is from RNAcentral.